RNAcentral lists this ribosomal RNA (575 nucleotides) under Schaereria dolodes. RNAcentral describes it as "SSU rRNA". It matches the Rfam family "Bacterial small subunit ribosomal RNA", at positions 446 to 1191 of the family's 1533-position model. The record is from RNAcentral. Lineage: Eukaryota; Fungi; Ascomycota; Lecanoromycetes; Sarrameanales.
AAAAUAAAGUUCUAGAUAGAAUUUUGAUAAUGACAUUCUAUCUAUCUUGACCAAAGAACGUGCCAGCAGUCGCGGUAAAACGUUGAAGACUAGUGUUAUUCAUCUUUAAUAGGUUUAAAGGGUACUUAGACGGUAUAUUAAGCCGUACUAAUAUACUAGAGUUUGAUGUGAGAGGGAGUACUAGUGGAGUAGAGAUGAAAUUUUAUUAUACUGGAACAGGUAGCGGCGAAAGCAACCCUUUAUGUAAAAACUGACGUUACGAAGGCUUGAGACACCAACAGGAUUAGAUACCCUAGUAGUUCAAGCAGUCAAUGAUGAAUGUCAUAGAUUAGAUCUAUAAAUGAAAAUGUAAGCAUUCCACCUCAAGAGUAAUGUGGCAACGCAGAAACUGAAAUCAUUAGACCGUUUCUGAAACCAGUAGUGAAGUAUGUUGUUUAAUUCGAUAAUCCGCGAAAAACCUUACCACAAUUUGAACAAGCGUUGCACGGCUGUCUUCAGUUAAUGUCGUGAGAUUUUGGUUAGUUCCAUUAAAUUAACGCAAACCCUUACUUUAUUUAAUGGGACCAAGACAAGUC